Molecule: small nuclear RNA, 106 nt
Filed under: Myotis brandtii (Brandt's bat)
Lineage: Eukaryota; Metazoa; Chordata; Mammalia; Chiroptera; Vespertilionidae
Source: RNAcentral
GUGCUCGCUUUGGCAGCACAUAUACUAAAAUUGGAACGAUACAGAGAAGAUUCACAUGGCCCUGUGCAAGGAUGACACGCAUAUUCAUGAAGCGUUCCAUAUUUGA